RNAcentral lists this ribosomal RNA (256 nucleotides) under uncultured bacterium. RNAcentral describes it as "partial 16S ribosomal RNA". It matches the Rfam family "Bacterial small subunit ribosomal RNA", at positions 524 to 776 of the family's 1533-position model. The record is from RNAcentral.
UACGUAGGGGGCAAGCGUUGUCCGGAUUAUUGGGCGUAAAGAGCGUGUAGGCGGCCAUGUAGGUCCGUUGUGAAAACUCGAGGCUCAAACCUCGGAGACGCCCGAUGGAAACCAUGUGGCUAGAGUCCGGAAGAGGAGAGUGGAAUUCCUGGUGUAGGCGGUGGAAAUGCGCAGAUAUCAGGAGGAACACCAAUUGCGAAGGCAGCUCGCUGGGACGUAACUGACGCUGAGACGCGAAAGCGUGGGAGCAAACAGG